Molecule: long non-coding RNA, 244 nt
Filed under: Brassica rapa (field mustard)
Lineage: Eukaryota; Viridiplantae; Streptophyta; Magnoliopsida; Brassicales; Brassicaceae
Description: long non-coding RNA (BRAP_LNC006811)
Source: RNAcentral
GAAGUAUCCGGAACACAUGGAACACUCGUGCCAGCGAGGGUUCCUGCGUCCUGCAGAACCUGGACCUCGGUUCUGCGAUCCGGAGCAACGGCCAGAGCAGAAGAAGAUGGGAACUCGGUACCAGCUCGAACUGGCUCCUUCUCGGCUUUACGUCGAGCUAGUUUCUUUCGGAAAGAAAGAUGGCCGGCGACGCAAGCUGGCGCUUCAACAGAGGAAGUCGGAAUCGGAGCCAGGGUGGUUGUCU